This 253-nucleotide ribosomal RNA is filed under the name uncultured bacterium. Its description in RNAcentral is "partial 16S ribosomal RNA". It matches the Rfam family "Bacterial small subunit ribosomal RNA", at positions 524 to 776 of the family's 1533-position model. The record is from RNAcentral.
CACGUAGGGCGCGAGCGUUGUCCGGAAUUAUUGGGCGUAAAGAGCUCGUAGGCGGCCUGUUGCGUCCGCUGUGAAAGCCCGGGGCUUAACUCCGGGUCUGCAUUCGAUACGGGUCUGCUGGGGUCCGGCAGGGGAGACUGGAAUUCCUGGUGUAGCGGUGAAAUGCGCAGAUAUCAGGAGGAACACCGGUGGCGAAGGCGGGUCUCUGGGCCGGUACCGACGCUGAGGAGCGAAAGCGUGGGGAGCGAACAGG